ACGAAGUAGCAAUACUUAGUGGCAGACGGGUGAGUAACAUGUGGGUAUCUGCCCUUUGGCCUGGAAUAACACGAGGAAACUUGUGCUAAUACCGGAUAAGUCUUUACGGAGAAAGCUUUAUGCACCAUUGGAUGAGCCCGCACUUGAUUAGUUUGUUGGUGGGGUAAUGGCCUACCAAGACUGUGAUCAAUAGCUGAUUUGAGAGGAUGAUCAGCCACAUUGGGACUGAGACACGGCCCAAACUCCUACGGGAGGCAGCAGUGGGGAAUCUUGCACAAUGGAGGAAACUCUGAUGCAGCGAUGCCGCGUGAGUGAAGAAGGCCCUUGGGUUGUAAAACUCUUUCGUCGGGGAAGAAAAUGACUGUACCCGAAUAAGAAGGUCCGGCUAACUUCGUGCCAGCAGCCGCGGUAAUACGAAGGGACCUAGCGUAGUUCGGAAUUACUGGGCUUAAAGAGUUCGUAGGUGGUUGAAAAAGUUAGUGGUGAAAUCCCAGAGCUUAACUCUGGAACUGCCAUUAAAACUUUUCAGCUAGAGUAUGAUAGAGGAAAGCAGAAUUUCUAGUGUAGAGGUGAAAUUCGUAGAUACUAGAAAGAAUACCAAUUGCGAAGGCAGCUUUCUGGAUCAUUACUGACACUGAGGAACGAAAGCAUGGGUAGCGAAGAGGAUUAGAUACCCUCGUAGUCCAUGCCGUAAACGAUGUGUGUUAGACGUUGGAAAUUUAUUUUCAGUGUCGCAGCGAAAGCGAUAAACACACCGCCUGGGGAGUACGACCGCAAGGUUAAAACUCAAAUGAAUUGACGGGGACCCGCACAAGUAGUGGAGCAUGUGGUUUAAUUCGAAGAUACGCGCAGAACCUUACCAACACUUGACAUGUUCGUCGCGACUCUAAGAGGUUAGAGUUUUCGGUUCGGCCGGACGAAACACAGGUGCUGCAUGGCUGUCGUCAGCUCGUGUCGUGAGAUGUUGGGUUAAGUCCCGCAACGAGCGCAACCCUCACUUUUAGUUGCCAUCAUUUAGUUGGGCACUCUGAA
This 1032-nucleotide ribosomal RNA is filed under the name uncultured bacterium. RNAcentral's name for it is "bacterial SSU rRNA". It matches the Rfam family "Bacterial small subunit ribosomal RNA", at positions 66 to 1144 of the family's 1533-position model. The record is from RNAcentral.